CUCCUCUUCACCUUUUAUAGAUCUCGCCGGUUACCCUCUUCCGUUACAGUUUGCCGGAGAGGUACAAUUCUAAUUUUCCGAUCAAGACUUUGUCGGAGCCGGAACACUGGAAAUACUUCGAUCGGUACCUAUAUAUAUCUUGCAGUUCUGAGUGGCCAAGUGAAUCCACAGGAAAUGGCUUAUGAUAACUCAUCCACGCUUGAGCCCAAACGUUCACAUCAAUGGUUCAUGGAUGGCAUCGAGCCUGAAUUGCUUCCCAACAAGAAGCAAGCCAUUGAAGUACCUAAUCACAGUUCAUUCUCUGGACUUUUAAGUUCCAAUAUUGCCCCCUGGAUGAACACUCCAGGUUUCCACUCAGUAUCAGGCCAAUAUGCAGAAAGACAGUUUGACAAUGACAGCGCAAGAUCGCUCAGCUUUGAUGACAACAGUGUUCCAUCCGUUGGCAUAGGCAACAUGAAUAUGUCUAGAAAGGUGAUGGAAGAUCCAUUUGGAAGUGAUUCCUCAUUUGGUUUAUCCAUAUCCCAUACACUGGAGGAUCAUAAAUCAGGUCUAAACUAUAGUGGUAUCAGAAAGGUCAAAGUCAGCCAGGUGAAGGAGGCUGAGAAUUUCACGCCUGUGUCAAUGGGUGAUAUCUAUACCAGAGGGAUCAGCAAUGCAAUGCCAACAGAUCAUGCUUUUAGUAAGGCUGAGGAUAAUUGCAUAGCUAUGGGACUCUCUUUCAAUGGAGGUGAUGAGCAUCUGAUGUCAUUAGGUGACACAUUUAAUAGGGAAGAGAACAGUUUCAUAUCUAUGGGUCAACCUUUUAACAAGGUGGAUAGCAAUGAAAUAUCACUGGGUCACAGCUUCAACGAGAGCAGCUCACUGUCAAUGAGUCACCCUUUUUGUAAAGAUGAAAGCAAUAUUAUUAUGCUGAAUCAAAGUUUUAGCAGAGAGGAUGAUAGCACAAUAUCAGUGAGUCACUCAUUCAAUGACAAUAAUACUGCCAUAUCAAUGGGUCAGCAAUUCGGUAAUGAUGAUAGCAAUAUUACAUCAGUUGGACAAACUAUUAAUACGAUGGCUGACACCAAUCCACCUAUGAGCCACUGCUACAGCAAAGUCAAUGACAAUGCCAUAUCAGUGAGUCAGACCUAUAGCAAAGUUGAAAACAAUAAUUUGUCAAUGAGCCAAUCUUUUGGCAAUGGAGAAAGCAAUAUCAUAUCCUUUGGUGGAUUCAAUGAUGAUGACGAUAUAAAUUCUUCUGGAAGGCUGAUUUGCAGUUAUGACUUAUUAAUGAGUCAGUCUUCAGGCCAACAAUCAGAUAUUGUGACUGGAAAGCGAUUGGUUGAGUCAAAUGCGGAUACAGUUACAAGUGCUGCUCAAAUGGCUGGCAGUAAGGAAUUUAUUUCCAAAAAGGAGGAGCAGAAAGCAACUAAAAAGCCUCCUUCGAACAGUUUCCCUUCAAAUGUGAGAAGCUUGCUCUCAACUGGUAUGUUAGAUGGAGUACCUGUCAAGUAUAUAGCUUGGUCCAGAGAGAAGGAGCUCCGUGGUAUUAUAAAAGGCUCUGGUUACCUCUGUGGCUGUCAGUCAUGUAAUUUUUCCAAGGCAAUUAACGCUUAUGAGUUUGAGCGACAUGCUGGUUGUAAGACAAAACACCCUAAUAAUCAUAUAUACUUUGAGAAUGGGAAGACGAUCUAUGGAAUUGUUCAGGAGCUCAGGAACACACCUCAGGAUUUACUAUUUGAAGUUAUUCAGACAAUUACUGGAUCGUCCAUUAACCAAAAAUCAUUUCGCAUCUGGAAAGAAUCUUUUCUAGCUGCGACACGUGAACUUCAGCGUAUAUAUGGGAAGGAUGAGGUCAGACGACUGUCAUAAAGAGGAAUCCAUAUGCAUGCUGAAGAGGAGCUCAUUUCUUAGAUGAAGAGGCUGCUCUAUAGCCAGACCUCCUUUUGGAAUUUGGAAGAUAAAGCCUCAAAUAGAAAAUCAUUAUAUGCCUUCAUCUUCGGUAGCAGUUGUUCCUUUCAAUGAAUUGAUCCCAACUGAAGCACCCAAUUGUUAUCAUGAUGGAACCUUUGAUAGCAUGGCUUAGAUUUAACCCACCACUUUGAGAGUUAUGACCGGCAUUUCCUGUUGUCCAAAAUAGUUCAACUAUUGGGCCUCGUACCAGUGUCAUGAUCAUGGCUCCUGCCACUGUGGCAAUAGUCCCAACUAUUUUGGCUUGGCUGCGGAUGCUUAAACUUCUAUGGUUAUGUAAAUGACAAAUUGACAACCAAGGUGCGUGGGUUGCUUCCUUAAAGAAACUGUGUUUUCUCUUUUGCUAUUGGUCCUCAUAGUUGAUCACUCUAUUAUUGCGUUGGUCCUUGGUAAUAAUUCUUGUCAAAUAGUUAUGGCUGUAAAUUAUAUCUUUCCUUUGGUUCUAAAUUUUGAUGUAAAUUAGUACAUAAGUUUUUGCAUGCCGGUUAAUUCGAUGAGAAUCUGUGUGUUAGAAAUUUCCCUAGCUAAGUGGUGUGAGUUGGCAAGUUUUAUAGCUAGACCAUGAGUAUCCUACUGCUCUUUCCAUUGGCAUUGCACCAAACUUGCCACUUCUGAAUUGAAUAUUCUUGUGGGUUUUAAAGUAUUUUAAAGUUUGAUA
Molecule: RNA transcript, 2608 nt
Organism: Solanum pennellii
Lineage: Eukaryota; Viridiplantae; Streptophyta; Magnoliopsida; Solanales; Solanaceae
Exons: 8
Source: RefSeq, a predicted model, not a curated record